RNAcentral lists this ribosomal RNA (200 nucleotides) under uncultured bacterium. Its description in RNAcentral is "partial 16S ribosomal RNA". It matches the Rfam family "Bacterial small subunit ribosomal RNA", at positions 8 to 200 of the family's 1533-position model. The record is from RNAcentral.
AGAGUUUGAUCCUGGCUCAGGACGAACGCUGGCGGCGUGCCUAAUACAUGCAAGUCGAGCGGACUUUGAUGGGUGCUUGCACCCGGAUGAGUUAGCGGCGGACGGGUGAGUAACACGUAGGCAACCUGCCCUCAAGACUGGGAUAACCUCCGGAAACGGAAGCUAAGACCGGAUAGAUGAGUUUCUCGCAUGAGAGAGUC